Nomascus leucogenys (northern white-cheeked gibbon) is the source of this 3851-nucleotide long non-coding RNA. RefSeq lists it as uncharacterized. The record is from RefSeq and is a predicted model, not a curated record. The transcript has 4 exons. NCBI's taxonomy places the organism in Eukaryota, Metazoa, Chordata, Mammalia, Primates, Hylobatidae.
CAACAGUUGGCACUUGUCUUAUUUCUGGAAGGCCCAUAGGUCCUGCUUUGGUGACUCCGUCACCCGAGUGCAACCCAGAGCUGUGAUUAACUGGAAGUGGAAUUUAUUUCAUUUAAGGAAUUUCUAAACACAGGAAACUCAAUGCAUUUUACCAUCCAAAAGUGUUUGACAUGCAUAAGGAAAUGGAGCAUGAGGUUAUAUUAUAUAUCACCUCUGUCCUUUCAGGGACCAAUGACCCACAUUUCGGAAAUAUUAUCUGGGAUUGGGAUGUGAUGAACAAAACCAUAAGACACACAGAGUCUGACCAAGAGCCCAUACCUCCCAGCACUCUCUAUUUCUGAUGGAGAAACCAGUUGUGGCUUUUCUACUUGACUUUGUCCCUAGACACUGGUGAGUGUUCUAGCAUGCUUGGCUGAGCAUGGGUACUAAAAAUGCAGGACACAGAGUCAGCAGAACGGUGCGAGUCCCAGCUGGGCCAUUGCUAACCUUGUCUAUUGGUGUUUGGCUCCUUAUCAGUUAAAUGGAGAAACCUAGGUGCCCACCUCCCAGGCAGCUGAGAAAUUAGAAGGCAGUGCUGGUGCAAUGUGCUUCCUGGACAACAAUGCUGAGAGUUGCUGUUUUAACUAGGAGUGCAUGUCAACACCAACAAUUUAUCAUAAAUUAGCCAUUAUAGAUAUUACCCACUAAUUUAUUAAAAUAUUUCCUUUAGUGUUUUAAUAUUUUUGAUCUGCAAAACUUUCUGGACAAUGGUUUCCAAGAAGAUCAAAGAGUCAAUAUUUGUGCAUUGGAAAAGGGCAGGAUUUCUAUUGAAGCAAAAAAAAAAAAAAUCAAAAGCAGAUUCCCUUUCUUUUGAAAAUAUACUUCCUUUUUUUAAUCCUCUUAAGCCUUAAAAAGGUGUUAAUGGUUUGUACAGUCUCAUUUUAACUUCCUUAAAGUUAAACAACUUAGGAAAUUGGUUAGACAAUUUCCUUGCCAACCUUAUAGGGAAAGAUGGGUCUUGCUCAUAAUGACAUUACUUUGCACUAAAACCACAUCAUGUACCUUGGAGUAGCAGUUAAAUCUGAAAAACAACAUGCACAUGUCGUCAAUUAAAGAUGAUAAAUAUAGGCUUUAAAAUCAAAGAACUGAUCUAAAGUAAGAGAUUGACAGUGCUGGCUUCAAAGGGGCAAGGACAAAUGUCUAACUGGAAUUGCGUGAGAUUUUGAAGAGAUGAUCAUCACCAUAAGAAGAGAAUCUUUCCCUGGAAACAUAUUUCAUUUAACAAUGUAGGCCAUUUGUUACGUCAUGAAGAAACACGGAACUACAAAGCAACACCACUUCACAAGCAAAUAACACCUAGGUGUUCAGAGUUUCAUUCUUGCUGAGGCACUGAUUCAUAACUGUGUAUUGUCAGGGAACACCCUAAUUAGCAGGUGAAACAUUGCAGACAUAAGCCAAUACAAUAAUUAUUUAGACUUUUAAGGCUAAAAGAAACCCUAGGGAUCAUCUAGUUUAGGAGGAAGAAUUAUUCUUUAGAAUUUCCUGUGACCCUUGAGGCAACAUGAAGAAAAGUGAUUGUAACCAUGAAAUGUAUUUAUCCAAGGAUUAUAAAUUGUAUUGUGCUCUUUGAAAGGUCUAAAAAUAAUCAUGGGAUAAUAGAAUUCUAGAGCUUGGAGGGAUUUGAGGGUCUACUGAUUUCAGUUUCUUCUGUCCAAUGCAAAAAUGAUUCCUUUUUCAAUAUUCUUGGCAAAUUCAUCUCUAGCUAAUAUGUACAUGUAAAAGGGGGACAUCAUAAGAAAUAAUAAACUAUUUGUAUAAACUUAUCAAUGUUACUGUUUUAAAGGAAAGAUUGCUUUGUUGUUCUGUGCCUAUCACAAUGCUUGGCAUGCAGUGAUCAGUGGGUGUUGCUAAGAGUUCAAGACGAUUCUGGAACUUUUCUGCAUCUAGUUGACCAUCCAGACUGGACUGGCGUAUCCAUGUUAACACAGAUGUACAUCGACUAUGCCAGCAGAGGUAAAGCCAUUCUACUUCUCCAAAAUUUCACAUUACAGUUAACCUACUUCAAUAUAUCUAAUCUGCAGUUAGAGUUGGAUAUGUCCUUAGCAGCUGAUCUGACCUGUAUGGUUUUUCUUUACAUAAGUACAUGAGUAAAUUUGGGACUCAUGUACAUUUGGGAUGACAUAAGUACAUUUGGGACUCCUGCUGGCCUGAUUUUUCUUAAAAAUCUUCAGUGUCCUCUCUGUUGGCUCUUGGGUUCUUCCUUAUAUCUGAUUACAAUGUUACAUCAUCCAUCUCAUUCUCUAUGUUAUGUCUUCUAAAAACCUGGAGAAUAAAUGCCAACUCCCUUUUCUUAUGAAAAACCUCAUUCUCUAUCUGGAGACAGUAUAUCACCCCUUCCUCUAAUCUGCCUAAAUGUUCUCUCAUUCCCAUUUUCCUCUUCAUCUGGUUAUUCCUUUCUUUUAGCUUUUAGUUUAAAUGCAGUUCUUCAGAGAAGACAACUCCGAAUUUCACAGACCAGUUGACAUUCCUGUUACACAUUCUUCUCCCUCCCUGCACUCUCAUUAGUACUGAUCUGCCCACUCUGUACUCUCAGCAGGUUCUAAGCUGCACUGAGGGUAUCUUCUUUAUUUUGUUCACUGUUACAUCCCCAGUGCCAAGCAUGGAGCCUGGUCUAGAAAAUGCACUCAGCAAAGAAUUGGUGGAUCUUCCGUUUGCUAGGCAAACAUAGGUACCAUCCUUUCUUUUUGCAGGGCCUGUUUUCAUUCAAGGUUUACAAGUCAGUAAUUGCCUGAAAUUUUUUCCUGGCAAAUGUCAGAGUUUUCUUCAUUUAGCUGCUCAGGGACUUUGGGACAGGAAGAGGUAGAUAAAGAAUGAAUUUAUUAGAAACGUAUUUAUUUUUUUCAUUUUUAAGGCCCAUAGGUGGCAAUUUCCAUCAGAACUAAAUGUAUGGUACUUAAAAUUUUCCUAAACUAAAACUCACUGGGUGUAAAUAAGGCAUCAUUAAAAAUAUCUAUUGAUAUUUUGCAUCAGUUGAUAGCAUGUAUGAAUGAUACUAGUAACAAAAACUCAUUCAUAUUUUGCCUUUUUAGAUCAAACUCAGAGAUUUCAAUUAUUCUUCCCAUGUGAACUCACCUGAUCUACCAACACACUCCUUCCUCUAAUCCGUCUAGAAUGUACCCGCAUUGCCUUCUCCUUACAUGAUUGCUCCUCUUUUUCAGGUCUCAGCAUAAAAUUCUGGAAGUUAACUUUCAGGUUUAAUCUGAGGACACUGGAUAGAGCCGAACUAUCAAAUACGAUUCCCUACACCUUAGCAAUCUUAGCAUCUCUACCUUAGCUAAGGAUGAUGACCCCUCUCCCAUUUUAUCAUUCAUGAAGGAUUUGCUCCAAGAGAAUUAAUAAGAAGGGACAAUGUACUUCAAUGAUGGCUAAGGUUCAUAAUCGAAAUUAUAGUAUCUGGAGCUCUAGUUUGAUAUUAUCAGGCAAAGAUCUAGAUUUAAUUUUAAGGGAGGAACUUUGUACGUUGCUUCUAACAUCAAACCCAACACAACACAACAGGAAUGGCCCAACAGGGGAAGCAGGCGUGGAUCCACAGCAGAAGCCUGUAUCUUUUCUUCCUUUUUUUUUUUUUUUCAGGGGAAAGCGCAAGCACAGUCCCCCACUACCACAAAUUAUGCAAUCGAGUUUCCCACAUUUGGGAAAAUCACAGGGAUCAGCACAUCUGGAGUGCGAUGCAUAAGCCUCGCUCUGGGAAAACCACCUUCGUCAUCAGGGUAUCUCCACUGCCAGAUGAGGAACAGCCACACACAGAGCGAAGACCACAUGAGGACACAGAGAGAAGACACCACCUACAAGCCAAGAAGAGAGGCCCCGGG